Molecule: long non-coding RNA, 794 nt
Filed under: Brachypodium distachyon (stiff brome)
Lineage: Eukaryota; Viridiplantae; Streptophyta; Magnoliopsida; Poales; Poaceae
Description: long non-coding RNA (BDIS_LNC001789)
Source: RNAcentral
UAAAUGCAGCCCAUCUGCCGGCACCUUAAUUGAAACGGCUUUUACGAAAAACAAUUAUUCAUCUCCCCACCCCACAUGAACCUUAUCUUCCUCUUUCAUGUCGAGUAAAACCCAGCAGCUUGUUCGUCAAAUCCAUGGAAAUGAAGUCGUGUAAAAUGGCAUCAGGAUGUUGGUUAUUCUGCGUUGGACUGUAUUCCCUCCGUCCGACAAUAUGGGUUUUCUUUUUUCUCUUUCUUUUCUUCUUCUUUCUUUCCUUUUUUCUUUCUUUUCUUUUCUUUUUGAGCCUUUUGGGGCUCUUUUGUUGCCUGCUUGUACUCGCGCUUCUUGCGCUUUCUUCUUAACGGAAAAGACAUGCCGCUCGGCGUGUUCGAGAAAAAAUAUGAGGGUUCAGUUGACAAAGCCUUUGACCACAAAUUAUUUCAUGAAUACGUGACUAAUGUGAUCAAAAUCAUAUUCAUGAGCAAAUAUCCUUGAGUAGAAAUAUAAUAGAUAUGAAUCUAUGUCAUAUAAUUAUAUAUUAAUACAGUAAUUUAAGGUCAAAGCAUUGGUUAAAAGAAAGCUAAUACGUCCCUAUUGUUGGAUGGAGGUAGUACAACAUAAAUUAUUUAUUGCAGAAAACAAAAAAUAUACCCCUUUGAUCCAUAUUAAUGGUCUCAAAUUUGUCCAAAUAUAGAUGUAUUUAUGCCUAAAAAGCGUCGAGAUAUCUGUAAUAUUUCGACAAAAAAUUCGCACCGGAGGGAGUCACGAAUUUUUGGAUUAACGGGCUUGGGACGGCACCUGUGCACCUACGAUUU